AUCCCCAGUUUGUAGGGAUAAGGACCUGGGUACUCCUCCUCCAUGUCAAAGGAGUCUAUGAUCCAGUUUCGCUUCUGUCGGAUCUUACCCCUUGACGUGGCAGAAUCCGUUCCAGCAGGCCUCUUUAUCUAUGUGGUUAUUCAUGCAGUGUUGCCUCUCCCAUUAAAGCUCAUGGGUUGCUGAAUUCCAGUUUGCGAUUCUGUUGUCAGUAACAAAAAUCACUCCUCGGCCCUUUCUCUCCACUGCUAAACCUGUUCUUCCACACUGCACCCAUUGUUUUCAUAGGAAGGGUGGAGAUGGACAGUUUUACGUGGAAUUGCCCUGUAACAUUCAUGAUGAAAUGUAAUAACAACAUGACAGUUUUGAGUAAUCACCCAUUUUAAAAUAAUAUUUAAUAAAUCAUCCACUACCUCUGCCCUACCACCCAGCUAGCACACUGUAAAGAUAUGAAAAUGAGUUCCAAACAUGCUGUACACUAUUUUUGUUCUGUAUGAAUGAAUAGGGACAUAAUGGCAAAGAGUGUCAUCUGCAACUUUCAUAAGUUCUUUAGCUUGUCUCAAAAUGUAAAACGAAAAAACUUUUAAAGCUUCCAGUUUGCAGUUUUACAUAAUAGUGGAGGUUUGUUGCAUUGUUCUAUAUUAUAUGCAGCUUGUGUCUUUCUUUAAGUCAAUGUAUUGCAUUUUCUAUGUACAUUUAUCCAAGUAAGAAAACAAAGAUGCAAGCUUCAGAGACUAUACAAGAGUGUUGAAAAGUAUCCUUAUUUACUAUUCAAUGUACAUCAUAGCUGUUAAAUCUAGAAGAUUUUUCUCUUUUUCUUCUUUUUUCUACUUUGUGUUGUGUUGUUGUGUUGUGUUGUGUUGUGUUUUAUGUUAUGUUUUAUGUAACAAAAACAUUUACACCUUUAUACACAGAAUUAAAUGAGCAAAGCAUACCAGUAGUCAGAGAGCACAAGUUACCUUCCAUGUAAGAAACAACAUUUAGAAGGAUGAAAGAGAGGUGUGUUUGUUCAGACAUGUCACUCUACAGAGAGGUGUGUCUUGCAAAAACAUUUGGGUGUAG
Long non-coding RNA from Alosa sapidissima (American shad), 1059 nucleotides. RefSeq lists it as uncharacterized. NCBI's taxonomy places the organism in Eukaryota, Metazoa, Chordata, Actinopteri, Clupeiformes, Clupeidae. The transcript is spliced from 3 exons. The record is from RefSeq and is a predicted model, not a curated record.